Molecule: ribosomal RNA, 744 nt
Filed under: uncultured bacterium
Lineage: Bacteria
Description: bacterial SSU rRNA
Rfam family: Bacterial small subunit ribosomal RNA
Source: RNAcentral
AGAGUUUGAUCCUGGCUCAGAACGAACGCUGGCGGCAGGCCUCAAACAUGCAAGUCUAGGGGGUGCAGCAAUGCAUCACCGGCGGACGGGUGCGUAACGCGUGGGAAUAUACCUAUUGGUUCGGAACAACUGCGGGAAACUGCAGCUAAUACCGAAUGAGCCCGCAAGGGGAAAGAUUUAUCGCCAAUGGAUUAGCCCGCGUCCGAUUAGCUAGUUGGUGGGGUAAAGGCUCACCAAGGCUCCGAUCGGUAGCUGUUCUGAGAGGAAGAUCAGCCACACUGGGACUGAGACACGGCCCAGACUCCUACGGGAGGCAGCAGUUGGGAAUCUUGGACAAUGGGGGAAACCCUGAUCCAGCCAUGCCGCGUGAGUGAUGAAGGCCUUCGGGUUGUAAAACUCUUUCGACGGGGACGAUAAUGACGGUACCCGUAGAAGAAGCUCCGGCUAACUUCGUGCCAGCAGCCGCGGUAAUACGAAGGGGGCUAGCGUUGUUCGGAAUUACUGGGCGUAAAGCGCGCGCAGGCGGUCUUCCAAGUCAGUGGUGAAAGCCCGGAGCUCAACUCCGGAACUGCCAUUGAAACUGUUGGACUUGAGGAUGAGAGAGGUGAGUGGAAUUCCCAGUGUAGAGGUGAAAUUCGUAGAUAUUGGGAAGAACACCGGUGGCGAAGGCGGCUCACUGGCUCAUUACUGACGCUCAGGCGCGAUAGCGUGGGGAUCAAACAGGAUUAGAUACCCUAGUAGUCC